This 574-nucleotide ribosomal RNA is filed under the name uncultured Arcobacter sp. RNAcentral's name for it is "bacterial SSU rRNA". It matches the Rfam family "Bacterial small subunit ribosomal RNA", at positions 64 to 661 of the family's 1533-position model. The record is from RNAcentral. Lineage: Bacteria; Pseudomonadati; Campylobacterota; Epsilonproteobacteria; Campylobacterales; Arcobacteraceae.
AGAUUAGCUUGCUUUAUUUGUCAGCUAAGUGGCGCACGGGUGAGUAAUGUAUAGGUAAUAUGCCUCUUACUAAGGGAUAACAAAUGGAAACGUUUGCUAAUACCUUAUACUCCUUAUUAACAGAAGUUAAUAAGGGAAAGAUUUAUUGGUAAGAGAUUAGCCUGUAUUGUAUCAGUUAGUUGGUGGGGUAAUGGCUUACCAAGACUAUGACACAUAACUGGUUUGAGAGGAUGAUCAGUCACACUGGAACUGAGACACGGUCCAGACUCCUACGGGAGGCAGCAGUGGGGAAUAUUGCACAAUGGACGAAAGUCUGAUGCAGCAACGCCGCGUGGAGGAUGACACAUUUCGGUGCGUAAACUCCUUUUAUAUGAGAAGAUAAUGACGGUAUUAUAUGAAUAAGCACCGGCUAACUCCGUGCCAGCAGCCGCGGUAAUACGGGGGGUGCAAGCGUUACUCGGAAUCACUGGGCGUAAAGAGCAUGUAGGCGGAUUAAUAAGUUUGAAGUGAAAUCCUAUAGCUUAACUAUAGAACUGCUUUGAAAACUGUUAAUCUAGAAUGUGGGAGAGGUAGA